UUGGACAGAAAGGCUACAGGGUGUGGUCUUGGCUCUUGUGUAAGAAUUCUGACCGUGCUAACCAUUGCUAGGAAGGAAAGGAGUUGUUGUUUUGUAGAAGGUGCUGGGGUUUGAGAGAUCAGUCGGACACGAUUGGCAGGGAAAGCACAUGUGUUUUUAUGAAAAUUAUGCCGAGAUAGUUACCUUCCGCUGUGAGAGUUACCUAAAGCUCGGCAUCCGUGAUGGUCUACGGGGCUUCCGAGGCGAUCAGGCAGCAUCAUUUAGGGUCUAGGGCUGUAAAGCAUCUCAGGGUUGCUGCCGAAGGAGCCAUGAACUGGGCUGGGUUUUUAUAUUUGAUAAAAAAGAGCCUAAAUGCUUCUGAUUUGGGAUAAAGAAAAAGGAGCAUUAACCUUGACUAUGCCUGUGGCUCCAGCCACCUUUUUAAGAGUAAAUUGCUGGGCAGGUGGGGGAGGGCUAGUCACAGAAUGAACAGGACUUGCCGCUAAGGGUGAAGGAGAAGGGGUUGAGGGGUACUUCCCCUCCUCCAGAAAAGCAGAGAAGGGGUAGAGACAAGGAGAGAAGGGGUUGGGGUACUUGCCCCUUCCCCAGAAAAGCGGGACUUGCUGCUAAAGGUGAAGGACCAAGGCAGGCGUCCCUGCGUGGUCUGACACCUUUGAAACGUGAGUGAAUAAUCAGAGAGGUGUCCCUGCAAUGAUUAAACACCAAGGGAAGGCUGCCUUCCCAUUCCAUAACCGGUGCUGGAGUUUUGGGUCCACGGAUAAAACUUGUCUCCUUUGUCUCUACCAGAAAAUGAAAGGAAUUGAAAUUAAGAGACGGGAGAGAUUGAAGUGUGGCACCAAGAUUGAAAGGAGAAAGAGGUUGAGGGAUAGUGAGGGAAGCCGGAGAAGAGAAUGAAAAGAGGCCGCUUACUGGAUUUGAAAUUGGUGAGAUGUUUCUUGGGCUGGUCGGUCUGAGGACCUGAGGUCGUAGGUGGAUCUUUCUCACGGAGCAAAGAGCAGGAGGACAGGGGAUUGAUCUCCGAAGGGAGGUCCCCCAGUCUGAGUCACGGCACCAAAUUUCAUGCACGUCCAUGUGAAGAGACCACCAAACAGGCUUUGUGUGAGCAACAUGGCUGUUUAUUUCACCUGGGUGCAGGCAGGCUGAGUCUGAAAAGAGAGUCAGUGAAGGGAGAUAAGGGUAGGGCCGUUUCAUAGGAUUUCGGUAGGUAAAGGAAAAUUACAGUCAGAAGGGGUUUGUUCUCUGGCGAGCAGGAGUGGGGGUCGCAAGGUGCUCAGUGGGGGUGCUUUUUGAGCCAGGAUGAGCCAGGAAAAGGACUAAAGUCACUUAAUC
This 1329-nucleotide long non-coding RNA is filed under the name Homo sapiens (human). RNAcentral describes it as "non-protein coding lnc-NAALADL2-10:1". Lineage: Eukaryota; Metazoa; Chordata; Mammalia; Primates; Hominidae. The record is from RNAcentral.